This 912-nucleotide long non-coding RNA is filed under the name Anolis carolinensis (green anole). Its description in RNAcentral is "lncRNA (ENSACAG00000036641.1)". The record is from RNAcentral. Lineage: Eukaryota; Metazoa; Chordata; Lepidosauria; Squamata; Anolidae.
CUAUAGGUUUCAGAUACAAUGGACUGUCUGUGGUCUACCUCGUCUUUCUCCUGCUUCUGCCACUCUGCCCAAAACCGAAUGCUGUCACAAUGAAAGGUAGGUAGCUAAUAUGUUCCAAAACCAUCAAUUUUGCUAGGGGUAGCAGCAAUCAUGUUAGCUAGUAAUGAAGCAGAACAUAUAAGUUGCAUGAACUGCUAAGCUGAUUAUGCCCUACUCCUGUGUGCCUAUAGCAGGCAUGGACAAACUUUAGCCUUCCGGAUGUUUUGGACUUCAACUUCCACAAUUCCUGUUAGGAAUUGAAGCCCAAAACACCUGGAGGAUGUAUGAGAGUCCAGAAGCAGAAGGGACGGGAUUAAAAUAGGAUACCCCUCUAUGAGGUUUGACACAAUCUACAAACUAUAUAUUGUGUACUGUCAUCUUUCAAAAUAAUGAUUGUGUGCUUGUUUUUCAGGGUCUACUGGGCAGCUGCUUAGAGCAAUCAGCUGUACUAGCUUCAUCUUCUUCGCAGUCCAAAUGGCUUUUCAAAUUGCAUUCUACUACCUGCCACCUAACGAUUUCUUAUGGGAGGAAGUGCUGAGCCACAUUGGUUUUCUACGGUUUAGCCGUCUCAGUGCUGGAAACAUCAUACGUCUUUUGUCCCCUGAUGUUGGAAUAUUUGUUAUAAGCCUCACAGUCACACAGCUUUGCAAAAAGAUGGUGAAACACCAGAAGCAGAAACUGCAACAUCAUUCCAGAAGCCAAGAUCUUUUCUGUUAUGAUCAGGAAAGAGACAUGGUGGUGGGAGAUGAAGAAGAGGUGGAAGAAGAAUGGGAGGAGGAAGAGGAGGAAGAGGUAGAGGACAUAGUAGAGAUAUAAAUAUUUGUUCAAUUUCUGGACCUCAUAGCAUAUCGAAAGGUGGUAUAAUGGGAUAAA